RNAcentral lists this ribosomal RNA (245 nucleotides) under uncultured Eubacteriales bacterium. RNAcentral describes it as "uncultured Clostridiales bacterium partial 16S ribosomal RNA". It matches the Rfam family "Bacterial small subunit ribosomal RNA", at positions 524 to 768 of the family's 1533-position model. The record is from RNAcentral. Lineage: Bacteria; Bacillati; Bacillota; Clostridia; Eubacteriales.
UACGUAGGUGGCAAGCGUUGUCCGGAGUUAUUGGGCGUAAAGGGCGCGUAGGCGGCAGCCUAAGUCAGAUGUGAAACCCCGGGGCUUAACUCCGGACGUGCAUUUGAAACUGGGCAGCUAGAGUGCAGGAGAGGAAAGCGGAAUUCCUAGUGUAGCGGUGAAAUGCGUAGAUAUUAGGAGGAACACCAGUGGCGAAGGCGGCUUUCUGGACUGUAACUGACGCUGAGGCGCGAAAGCGUGGGGAG